GCGAGGUGACGAUAGAAAUUCAUGUUUUUUUAACUCACUGACUUAAUCGUGUGAUGUUACUGUGAAUCCCGACAGGUUCCGAUCGCUUUCAAUCCGUUUUUCCACUUCAAAUUUCCCCCACUUUGAUGCUUCUGUGUUUGGUUGUAGUUGAAUUGGUUUUGAGGAAUUUGUGGAUAGAUGAAAGAAAGUGAAGUGACGAUACAAAUUCAUAUCUUCAAUUCACUGACUUACUGUGUGAUGUUACUCUGAAUUGGCUGUGGUUCUGAUCGCUUUCUUUCUCAUCUUUCAAUCUCACUCACACCCACAUGGAUCUGAACAUGUCAAGUUUCAUUCUUUUUCUUUUUCUUUUUCCUCUGAAUCCGGGCAGGUGAUGAGUCUUAUGGUAUUAUGGGUAAUUUGCGUCUGAAUAUUCAGUGAUGUUUUACUUUCACGUUGGAGAACUGAUGCCCUCG
This 452-nucleotide long non-coding RNA is filed under the name Rosa chinensis. Lineage: Eukaryota; Viridiplantae; Streptophyta; Magnoliopsida; Rosales; Rosaceae. The record is from RNAcentral.